UUCAGUGACCAUGUUUAUUAUGGAGUCAGAUCUAGACCUUUCCAUUCAAUUUAAUGCUUCAUUAUCCAAACAAAAAAUGACUCACUUUUUAUAAAAGACUAAAAGCAUCUAUAAAGUGGCAAAUAUUCUAUAGAGCUGUCUGGCCAAAAUGUAUUGCACUAGUAAAUUGUAAACAGCACUAUACAAAUAGAAUCACACAACUGCUGUGACAAAAACAUAAGGACCCAACACAUAUACAUAGAGUUCAAAGUAGAGUAGUGAAAGAAAAAAAUGUAUACUAUUGCAAUUAUUGGAGAAUAGAGGCAGAAAAGUAACAGCUCUAUGCCAUGGAACUUGUUGGCAACAGCAUGGUUUGGUUGUUAGAAUAAAAAGUACAAAAUGUAAAUAAAUUUUAUGUUUAAAAAACAAAUCAAGCAGUUUUUUUUAAACUGGUUUCUGUCUUAACAUCAAAGCCAAAAAAAUCCAUGACAGUCCAGGCCUCUCAACACCACUGACCUAUGUUCACAUAGCUGAGCUCAACUGGUCUAAAGAAAUGUCUUGUGACAUUUGUAUGGAUUAGCUCAGACAUGGGAACAUUUCACAUCAAGCAUCCCAUCCCUGCAGGCACAGCUCUCAAACUUUAGAGAAUACAUUACAUUGUGUAGACCCUGUCAGUUUCACCUCUGUCCCUAAACAGCAAAAAAUACAUCGAACACAAUGUAAAAAGUAACUGCCAUAUGGGAGACCACUAAAAAUAUACAAGUAACAAGUUGCAGGGUUGAGAUAUAUACCACACUGCAAAAUACUUCAUUCAGGUUCAACAAGUCAAGUGUUGUUACAUGUUGAGUGUUUCAACUCUGUCCCUAGACAUACUCUUGGCAACAGUACAGGAAGGUCACAGUUGAAACAUACAAUAUCAAAACAUAGCAUAGGAUGUUCUUUUGGGAAGGCAAGGGCUGUCUUGUUUGCAUUGGCUUUGACAGAGUCAUUUCUAAAAGAGUAAACUCAGUUAACAGCUUUUGUUGUUCAUGGAUGAUAUACUGUAUAUAUAAAAAAAAAUCCACUGGGCUUGACAACAAAACAUAUAAAAUACUUUC
Molecule: non-coding RNA, 1076 nt
Organism: Biomphalaria pfeifferi
Lineage: Eukaryota; Metazoa; Mollusca; Gastropoda; Planorbidae
Source: the annotation of a GenBank genome assembly